UUUGUUUUUUCCGUUGUCACAAUUCAUGCAUUGCCAUGUCUUUGUCGUCUCUUCCCUUUGUGGUGGUCGCUCUCCCACCAAAGGGGGUUUAAUGCUUAGACCUCGACCACCAUCACUACCCACAUUACAACCGCUUCAUCACCCACCAACCCACAUCCAACCCUAAUUAAGUCACUGCUCCACCUAGUUCUUUCGUAGGCAAUCACCGUGUCCAAUAUUUCAUGUGUUCCAUGUGCCAACCUCAUUAUUACAAGUCUCUCCCCGAUUGAUCGAUCCCCCACUUCAUAAACCUUCUUUAGAUUUGACUUCUAUGACUGCAACUUCAAUUGAAAAAAGAACCUUCAAACUCCCUCCUAAAGCCACAGUAGAAUUAGAGUUGAGAACAUUCUGGUUUGAGAUUUAAUAAUUGUGUUGGGGUAUUUUUUUUGUUUUUUUGUUUGUUUUGUUUUGCUUCUUAGUCUGUUAUAUUAUUAUUUUGUCAACAUGUAUUUGAAUUGGUCAUUCAAAGACCACAUAUAGUCGAAAUGUCGAAACCAACAACAUUUUUUUUCUUUAAGAACGGUG
RNAcentral lists this long non-coding RNA (564 nucleotides) under Medicago truncatula (barrel medic). RNAcentral's name for it is "long non-coding RNA (MTRU_LNC007368)". Lineage: Eukaryota; Viridiplantae; Streptophyta; Magnoliopsida; Fabales; Fabaceae. The record is from RNAcentral.